GUCUUAUUGUAUAAAAUAAUAAGUCCGACCUGCCCUAUGUAAAUGAAUGGCCGCGGUAUUAUGACCGUGCGAAGGUAGCAUAAUCAAUAGUCUGUUAAAUGCAGUCUGGAAUGAAGGGUUUAACGAGUAAUAACUUUCUUAAUUUUAUAGAUGAAUUUUAAUAAUUAGUGAAAAUGCUAAUAUGAAUUAGGGGGACGAGAAGACCCUAUAAAGCUUUAUAUAUGAUAUUUUAGUAGUAUUUUUCAAUAUAUUUUGUUGGGGCGACAAUAAAUAAAAACAUUUAUUUUAUAGUCUAUUUAAUAGGUUUAUGAUCCAUUCAUAGUGAUUGUAGACUAAGUUACUUUAGGGAUAACAGCGUAAUUAUAUUUUAGAGUUCUUAUCGAUGAUAUAGUUUGCGACCUCGAUGUUGGAUUAAGAUACCUUUGAGGCGCAGUUGUUUUAAGGGGUAGUCUGUUCGACUAUUAAAAUCUUACAUGAUCU
RNAcentral lists this ribosomal RNA (480 nucleotides) under Digitipes sp. 1thai. RNAcentral describes it as "partial 16S ribosomal RNA". It matches the Rfam family "Bacterial large subunit ribosomal RNA", at positions 1825 to 2606 of the family's 2925-position model. The record is from RNAcentral. Lineage: Eukaryota; Metazoa; Arthropoda; Chilopoda; Scolopendromorpha; Scolopendridae.